GCGCCCGUAGCUCAGUGGAUUAGAGCGUCCGGCUACGGACCGGAAGGUCGGGGGUUCGAAUCCCUCCGGGCGUACCA
RNAcentral lists this transfer RNA (77 nucleotides) under Actinomycetota bacterium. RNAcentral describes it as "tRNA-Arg". It matches the Rfam family "tRNA". From Rfam's summary of the family: Transfer RNA (tRNA) molecules are approximately 80 nucleotides in length. RNAcentral also lists the same sequence under 1 other name. Lineage: Bacteria; Bacillati; Actinomycetota. The record is from RNAcentral.